Non-coding RNA from Pelobates cultripes (western spadefoot toad), 256 nucleotides. NCBI's taxonomy places the organism in Eukaryota, Metazoa, Chordata, Amphibia, Anura, Pelobatidae. The record is from the annotation of a GenBank genome assembly.
GAGGUGAAUGGGUGCAGGGAGGGGAGCGCGCGCGCAACGGUCGGACGGGGUUGGGAAAUAGAAAAAAACCCCGAGCACGGUGAAAACUUACCGGCUCAGGGUUAAGGAAGCCAGUCAAAUGACAGGCAGAAACGUCCCGUUAAGCUAUGAGGGAACUAGCCGAAAUGGGAGGCAAGAAAGGGGGGAACAAAGUUCAAUAACCCUCAAAAGUUUAACCAGCAAUAGCAAGAACACAUAAUAUUAAAGCAAUUUAAAG